Molecule: ribosomal RNA, 253 nt
Filed under: uncultured bacterium
Lineage: Bacteria
Description: partial 16S ribosomal RNA
Rfam family: Bacterial small subunit ribosomal RNA
Source: RNAcentral
CACGUAGGGCGCAAGCGUUGUCCGGAAUUAUUGGGCGUAAAGAGCUCGUAGGCGGUCUGUUGCGUCCGCUGUGAAAACUCGGGGCUUAACCCCCAGCCUGCAGUGGGUACGGGCAGACUAGAGUGCGGUAGGGGAGAUUGGAAUUCCUGGUGUAGCGGUGGAAUGCGCAGAUAUCAGGAGGAACACCGAUGGCGAAGGCAGAUCUCUGGGCCGUAACUGACGCUGAGGAGCGAAAGCGUGGGGAGCGAACAGG